RNAcentral lists this ribosomal RNA (512 nucleotides) under uncultured bacterium. Its description in RNAcentral is "bacterial SSU rRNA". It matches the Rfam family "Bacterial small subunit ribosomal RNA", at positions 8 to 518 of the family's 1533-position model. The record is from RNAcentral.
AGAGUUGAUCCUGGCUCAGGAUGAACGCUGGCGGCGUGCCUAACACAUGCAAGUCGAACGAAGCAUACGGACUGGAGAUUCGUCGAAGGACUGUAUGACUUAGUGGCGGACGGGUGAGUAAUGUAUGAGCAACCUGCCUUUCAGAGGGGGACAACAGUUGGAAACGACUGCUAAUACCGCGUAACGUAUUGUGAGGGCAUCCUCGUGAUACCAAAGGAGCAAUCCGCUGAAAGAUGGGCUCAUAUCUGAUUAGCUUGUUGGCGGGGUAACGGCCCACCAAGGCGACGAUCAGUAGCCGGACUGAGAGGUUGAACGGCCACAUUGGGACUGAGAUACGGCCCAGACUCCUACGGGAGGCAGCAGUGGGGAAUAUUGGGCAAUGGGCGAAAGCCUGACCCAGCAACGCCGCGUGAAGGAAGAAGGUCUUCGGAUUGUAAACUUCUUUUAUGAGGGACGAAGGACGUGACGGUACCUCAUGAAUAAGCCACGGCUAACUACGUGCCAGCAGCCGC